UGGGGAAUCUUGCGCAAUGCGCGAAAGCGUGACGCAGCAACGCCGCGUGGGGGAAGAAGGCCUUCGGGUUGUAAACCCCUUUCAGGAGGGACGAAGGUUGGGCGGUUAAUAGCCGACCUGACUGACGGUACCUCCAGAAGAAGCCCCGGCUAACUACGUGCCAGCAGCCGCGGUAAUACGUAGGGGGCAAGCGUUGUCCGGAAUCAUUGGGCGUAAAGAGCGUGUAGGCGGUUCGGUAAGUCGGCUGUGAAAGUCCAGGGCUCAACCCUGGGAUGCCGGUCGAUACUGCCGGACUAGAGUUCGGGAGAGGCGAGUGGAAUUCCCGGUGUAGCGGUGAAAUGCGCAGAUAUCGGGAGGAACACCUAUGGCGAAGGCAGCUCGCUGGGACGUUACUGACGCUGAGACGCGAAAGCGUGGGGAGCAAACAGG
RNAcentral lists this ribosomal RNA (429 nucleotides) under bacterium. Its description in RNAcentral is "partial 16S ribosomal RNA". It matches the Rfam family "Bacterial small subunit ribosomal RNA", at positions 355 to 776 of the family's 1533-position model. The record is from RNAcentral.